CCCAGACUCCUACGGGAGGCAGCAGUGGGGAAUAUUGCACAAUGGGGGAAACCCUGAUGCAGCGACGCCGCGUGAGUGAAGAAGUAUCUCGGUACGUAAAGCUCUAUCAGCAGGGAAGAUAAUGACGGUACCUGACCAAGAAGCCCCGGCUAACUACGUGCCAGCAGCCGCGGUAAUACGUAGGGGGCAAGCGUUAUCCGGAUUUACUGGGUGUAAAGGGAGCGUAGACGGCAGCACAAGUCUGGAGUGAAAUCCCGGGGCUUAACCCCGGAACUGCUUUGGAAACUGUGCAGCUGGAGUGCAGGAGGGGGAAGCGGAAUUUCUAGUGGAGCGGUGAAAUGCGUAGAUAUUAGGAGGAACACCAGUGGCGAAGGCGGCUUACUGGACAGUAACUG
Molecule: ribosomal RNA, 395 nt
Filed under: uncultured bacterium
Lineage: Bacteria
Description: bacterial SSU rRNA
Rfam family: Bacterial small subunit ribosomal RNA
Source: RNAcentral